Molecule: long non-coding RNA, 1025 nt
Organism: Episyrphus balteatus (marmalade hoverfly)
Lineage: Eukaryota; Metazoa; Arthropoda; Insecta; Diptera; Syrphidae
Exons: 3
Source: RefSeq, a predicted model, not a curated record
UUAGUACAUUGUACGAAUUAUUGCGUACAUAUAACUAAUAACAUUCGUAAAUUCUUCGUACGAAUGCAUUCGUAAUUUCUUGCAUUGUAUUCGUAGUAUUUACUAAUAAAUUCGUACUAUUUACUAAGUAAAUACUAAUAUUCGUAGAGAAAUUUAUUCGUAGGGUGCCUGUACGCAUUAUUCGUAGAAUAUACGAAUAAUUCGUUGAUUUUUAAACCGAAAUAUCCGUUAUUUCCGUUAUUUGUUAAACGUUUUCCAUUCCUAAAUACCAUAAAAAAUGUUAGUUGGAAUACGCGCGUCGUCGAUGGCAGAACAUUUAUACAUAUUAAAUGGAAAAUAUAAUUUCAUAAAAUAAAUAUAUUUAAGAAAUACAGAGUUUGUAAAAAUAGUUUACUUUCGUUCAGUGCGGAAAAAAAAGUGCUUGUAGUUAAGCAGUGGUGUAAAUCAUUGUUUAACGUAAAUUUUACUAUCUAUACAUGAAGUAUUUACAAAACCGAGGAACGACUGAACAACUACAAUUACAACAAAAACCAGAAUAUUCUUUCAAGAUUGGCAUAGGGAAUUUAUCAACAAUCAGCUUUACCAAUGGCAAAUGGCGGCCCAUAUCACUUCAAAGUUACUGGUGCUUUUCUAAAAAUAUUUAUUUGGCCUUCCAUAACACAGAAUAUGAACACCGUGGAAUAUAUGUGGUAUAAUAUUCAAGAUCAAAAAAACCUUCAUUAUAUUUUUAUAAAUGUGAAAAAUUAAUGCAAUAUAUUUUUAUAGUUUGAAGUACAGUUUUGCUUGGGUAAUUAUUUCAACAAUUCAUAUUUCAGGAAAUUUCAAGAACAAAAUUCAAUGGCUGAAAGUUCUACAAUGAAUAACAUUCGUACAAUAUACGAAUAGCACUGUAUAAUGUACGAAUUAUUAGUAAAGCCAUUCGUAAAUAUUACAAUGCUAUUCGUACAAUAUACGAAUACUACUGUAAAAUGUACGAAUGAAUCAGAAAAGCAUUAGUAAAUACUACAAAUUAUUCGUACAAUCUA